This 497-nucleotide ribosomal RNA is filed under the name uncultured bacterium. RNAcentral describes it as "partial 16S ribosomal RNA". It matches the Rfam family "Bacterial small subunit ribosomal RNA", at positions 28 to 507 of the family's 1533-position model. The record is from RNAcentral.
GAUGAACGCUGGCGGCGUGCCUAAUACAUGCAAGUCGAGCGAACAGACGAGGAGCUUGCUCCUCUGACGUUAGCGGCGGACGGGUGAGUAACACGUGUAUAACCUACCUAUAAGACUGGGAUAACUUCGGGAAACCGGAGCUAAUACCGGAUAAUAUAUUGAACCGCAUGGUUCAAUAGUGAAAGACGGUUUUGCUGUCACUUAUAGAUGGAUCCGCGCCGCAUUAGCUAGUUGGUAAGGUAACGGCUUACCAAGGCGACGAUGCGUAGCCGACCUGAGAGGGUGAUCGGCCACACUGGAACUGAGACACGGUCCAGACUCCUAAGGGAGGCAGCAGUAGGGAAUCUUCCGCAAUGGGCGAAAGCCUGACGGAGCAACGCCGCGUGAGUGAUGAAGGUCUUCGGAUCGUAAAACUCUGUUAUUAGGGAAGAACAAAUGUGUAAGUAACUAUGCACGUCUUGACGGUACCUAAUCAGAAAGCCACGGCUAACUACGUG